GGGCCCGCACAAGCGGUGGAGCAUGUGGUUUAAUUCGACGCAACGCGAAGAACCUUACCUGGUCUUGACAUCCUGCGAACUUUCUAGAGAUAGAUUGGUGCCUUCGGGAACGCAGUGACAGGUGCUGCAUGGCUGUCGUCAGCUCGUGUCGUGAGAUGUUGGGUUAAGUCCCGUAACGAGCGCAACCCUUGUCCUUAUUUGCCAUCAUUAAGUUGGGCACUCUAGGGAGACUGCCGGUGACAAACCGGAGGAAGUGGGGACGACGUCAAGUCAUCAUGGCCCUUACGACCAGGGCUACACACGUGCUACAAUGGAGCGUACAAAGGGUUGCGACCUCGCGAGAGUGAGCU
This 350-nucleotide ribosomal RNA is filed under the name uncultured bacterium. RNAcentral describes it as "bacterial SSU rRNA". It matches the Rfam family "Bacterial small subunit ribosomal RNA", at positions 917 to 1269 of the family's 1533-position model. The record is from RNAcentral.